RNAcentral lists this long non-coding RNA (1848 nucleotides) under Homo sapiens (human). Its description in RNAcentral is "non-protein coding ZNF503-AS2:13". Lineage: Eukaryota; Metazoa; Chordata; Mammalia; Primates; Hominidae. The record is from RNAcentral.
UUUGGAGAGAAGAGGGGAGUGAGGCGGUGUGUGCUUGGGGCUGGUGUUUGUCAGUGUGAGCGUGUAAGAGCACACCUGCAUUCAAGGGGGUUUGUAGUGUCCGUGCGACAUCUGAGGGAGAAUCGACGGGAUUUCUCUGGCUGUCGUUUGCGCUGCAUUUAUCCGAAUACAUCCAGCUCGCAGGCAUCCUGCAAGAAACGGCUCCCGGCUCGCGUGUACGCCGACACCUCGGCCCAACGCAGGACUCGAGGUGGUUUCUAGUGCCCGGGUGGCUGCAAGUCUGCCCUCCGAGGGAGGCUGGACAAGCGGCGCCCCCAGGUCGAGCGGCCUCUCGCUGCCUGGCAGUGCCUGGCAGCCCCCACCUCUGCCAGUGCUUCGGAAACCCGCCUGGCCAGGUUCGCCCGCGGUGAAAAAUGAAAGCAAAUUCCCCAACAGAGGUAGCCGGAACUUUCCUCGACGAAGGCUCCCUCCUGCGCCUGUGUCUGGAGAACCCCCAGAGCGCUGCAAGUUAGCAAGAGAGAUUCGAUGGCGGCUCUGGAAGGCGCACGAAGGGUGGGGCGGGGGAGCAAAGAGGCCACUGGGUGACCCAGCCUGGUCCGGGGUGAAACGCUAGAGAAGGCGCCUCGCCUUCCUUAUUUCAAUGCAACUCCUCGGCCCCAGACGGUAAAAAUAGUUUCCAAGCUGCCGCGGACGCCCAGGAUGUGUUUGCAGAGAUCAAACUGGGGAGGAGGCAGCUUUGUAAAAGUUGCAGAAAGAUUAGCCGAGAAGCGUCCGCCCGGCGGGGCUCAAGAAAGCUUGGGGACAGCUCCAUGUUCCUUGGGGCGGAAUGGCCCAAGAAUUGGCCUGGGUAACCCCCUGCCCAGUUCUCUGUCCUCACUUCGAGCCAGUGCUUAAAUAACUUCCCGCCGCCUGCCCUGCAAACUUCCCGGCGCGGCGCCGUUGAGGCCAGGACACAGCAAAGGCUAGCAAAACCCCGCCGCGGCGCGCUCGGCCCCGGCCCUGAGAGGCUGCGCGGGUGGGAGGACCAGUGUGGUUUCUGCUCCCACUCGGCUGCCCAGACCCUCAAGACCGAUCCCCCAACUCCUGGGAGCGGGUGCUUCCCUCUGGGAGCCGAGAUCUUGCGGGGCCAGCGAGGGCGCAAAGUGCGCGCGCUGGCCCGCGCGGGGGCGGCCGCGCGUCUCUCCGCGGGGCCUGUCGCCAGGCCGGCCGCGGCGCGUGAGUGAUGAGGGCAGAGAAGGGCGCCCAUAAAUCGCGGGUGUCAGGGCGAAAAACUCUCUUUAUUGUCUGCGUGAUGGAUGGGCCCGGGGACGAGACACCAAAUACUUCGUAUCGCCUUUAAAUGGGAACACAUUUUCCGCGGCCAUAAUUCAUGUUUUUUAAAUAGAAAGUUUGAAAUGUUGCCUAUAUUUCACCAGCCCUGACAUAUUUAUGAAUCGCUCCCUGCAUGCAAAUAUCAUUACUUAAAGCGCCGGGGAGAGCGCGGGGGAGGGGAGGAGGCGCGGUUCCCGGGGCGUGGGGGUGGUGAACCGGGGAAAUAUCGGUGGAGGGGGGCCAUCUCCCUAAAGGGCAGAGGGUGAGGUGCGGUGAAUAGCCGUAUCCGGAAACCGAGCGUGCCCCGGGCUUCUUUCCCGCCGCCAGACCCCGCACAGCCGCCCUGGGACGUUUUUCGAGGCUUGGGACCUAAGACGGGUCCCCGGACCCUGCUGGGAAACCAGGGGGCGUUUUUCGUCCCUCUCUGAGGCCAUUAUCCAAGCUGAAACCACCUUUUAUAAGAAAAAAGUUUAAAGAAAAAAAAUUUAACAAACACAAAUAAUAAUAAUAACCCAACAUGUUUCGCGUUCUUUGCCA